UAUGUUAACCGAACCUCCCUUCUCCACUCUUCAUGUUUUCUUCUUCUUGCAAUUUACAUAUAUACCUUGUGAGAUUUGAAUGAUCUUUGAGAGAAUUUUAGUAGAUCAAUUUAAGAGAGGAUUAAAGAAAAGAAUAAAGCUUGAGGUUGAAAGUGUGAACUGGAUAGUGACCUCAGCGAGAGAGACAUACCAUUCUCAUGUAGCGUAAGUUGAAUGUGUUUGAAGCUUGCUAAGGCUGUUAGCAAUUGGGGAUAGUUAAGGUAUCCAGGUGUGGUGAAGACUUGCAAGAUGUGAAUGACUUUGGCGAUAGAAAACAUCAAGACUCAAUGUCUGUUAGUUACCAAUUUGUGUAAAUAUCUUAG
Molecule: long non-coding RNA, 362 nt
Organism: Vicia villosa (hairy vetch)
Lineage: Eukaryota; Viridiplantae; Streptophyta; Magnoliopsida; Fabales; Fabaceae
Exons: 3
Source: RefSeq, a predicted model, not a curated record